RNAcentral lists this small nuclear RNA (118 nucleotides) under Theobroma cacao (cacao). Its description in RNAcentral is "snRNA U5". It matches the Rfam family "U5 spliceosomal RNA". Rfam says of the family: U5 RNA is a component of both types of known spliceosome. The precise function of this molecule is unknown, though it is known that the 5' loop is required for splice site selection and p220 binding, and that both the 3' stem-loop and the Sm site are important for Sm protein binding and cap methylation. The record is from RNAcentral. Lineage: Eukaryota; Viridiplantae; Streptophyta; Magnoliopsida; Malvales; Malvaceae.
AGCCGUGCGGUGAGCACAGAGCGAACUAUUCUUUCGCCUUUUACUAAAGAAUACCGUGUGCUCGCCGCUCUGAGCGGCAUACGCCUAUUUUUGGAAGGCGGUUCCUCCAUGAACUGCC